GCAUCCUUGGUCUAAUGGAUAUGACAGAGGUCUUCUAAACCUUUAAUACAGGUUCGAUUCCUGUAGGAUGUA
RNAcentral lists this transfer RNA (72 nucleotides) under Siphoviridae sp. ct0yq10. RNAcentral's name for it is "tRNA-Arg". It matches the Rfam family "tRNA". Rfam says of the family: Transfer RNA (tRNA) molecules are approximately 80 nucleotides in length. Their secondary structure includes four short double-helical elements and three loops (D, anti-codon, and T loops). Further hydrogen bonds mediate the characteristic L-shaped molecular structure. tRNAs have two regions of fundamental functional importance: the anti-codon, which is responsible for specific mRNA codon recognition, and the 3' end, to which the tRNAs corresponding amino acid is attached (by aminoacyl-tRNA synthetases). tRNAs cope with the degeneracy of the genetic code in two manners: having more than one tRNA (with a specific anti-codon) for a particular amino acid; and 'wobble' base-pairing, i.e. permitting non-standard base-pairing at the 3rd anti-codon position. Lineage: Duplodnaviria; Heunggongvirae; Uroviricota; Caudoviricetes. RNAcentral also lists the same sequence under 1 other name. The record is from RNAcentral.